Long non-coding RNA from Hibiscus syriacus, 105 nucleotides. RefSeq lists it as uncharacterized. Lineage: Eukaryota; Viridiplantae; Streptophyta; Magnoliopsida; Malvales; Malvaceae. The record is from RefSeq and is a predicted model, not a curated record. The transcript is spliced from 3 exons.
AACCAUUGGAACGGUGAGGGACAAUGGAUUUAUUACGGUGGCGAGGAAAUCCUCAGGGGAACCGUAGUCGGUGAUGGACUUCUUGUCGAUGGGAGUGAUCAUGAC